RNAcentral lists this non-coding RNA (850 nucleotides) under Puerulus angulatus. The record is from RNAcentral. Lineage: Eukaryota; Metazoa; Arthropoda; Malacostraca; Decapoda; Palinuridae.
GAUAAGUUUGAUUCUUGCUUAUAAAUUUUUAUUAGUGUGUUUGAAGAAUAUAUGCGAGUGUUAGCAAAAAAAUAAUAAAAUUAUUUAAUAUUAUUUUAUUUUUCGUUGGGAGUAAAAAGUUAUGAACAAUUUAGUGCAGUAUUAAAAAUUCUUUUAUUAAAGAAAAUUAGAAAGAGUAAAACAAAAAAGAUCCGGCUAAAAUUUGUGCCAGCAGCCGCGGUUACACUUAAGGGUCAAGUAAAAAUAAAUAAGUUGUCUAGUUAAAUUGCGAUGAGUUGAUGGUGUAUACCCACUUUACCAAAAGGUGAAAUUUAUUGGGUAAUGUCUGACGUGGGGGUGCAUCGAGAAUGCAUUUUAGUUGAGGCUAGGGAGGUUUGGGUAUGGACUAGGAUUAGACACCCUAUUACACCAAAAGUAAAUAAAAAGGACUAGAGUAGUAAAAAUUAAUUUGUUCAAAAUUCAAAGAAUUUGGCGGUAUUUUAGUCUAGUUAGAGGAACCUGUUUUAUAAACGAUAAUCCACGUAGAAUCUUUCUUGUUCUUGUUAAAAGUUAGUAUACCUUCAUUAUUAGACAAUUUGUUGAUAAAAAUUGUUGAAAUCAAAUAAAUUUAAGUAUAUUAGAUCACGGUGCUGCUUAUGAAUAAGUAAAAAUGGGUUACAAUGGGAAUUUACCCACGACGAAUAAAAAAGAGAAUUUCUUUUUUUGAAGGCGGAUUUAAUUGUAAUUUUAAGUUUAAUAAGCUUAAAUGAUAUUAGCUCUAAAAUGUGUACAUAUUGCCCGUCGCUUUCAUCAAGUCAGGUGAGAUAAGUCGUAACAUAGUAGGUGUACUGGAAGGUGCCCCUAGAAAUAA